GCUGAGGCUUGAGUGUGCCAGAGGGCUCAGCAGCUAAUGCAUCCCAUUCGACAGAGGCUGCGCUGGCUAAUGCCUCCCUGGAGGGAAGUCUCCCUAAUUAAUCCACCAUUUCCACUUUAGCUGCACCCUCCCCUCUGAGACCUGGAGGAAGUGUGGAUGGGGCCUGAGUUCACUCUGAUGCAGGAGGGGAUUGCUUAGAGAACCUGAGAGGUUUAAAAUCAGAUUGAAGAGGAUAAAAACACCAGUGCUUUGGUACUAUGGGUCACAGGUCAGCAUACAGCACAAUUGAUUUUAAAUGUGAUGAACAUGCAGACUGUCAGCUUUUAUUUUAAAGACGUGAUGGAGAACUUGCAUAUGCUUUGGUGGAAGAGUGGAGGAACAUCUCACAGCAAGAACUGACAAAUUUGGUGCAGUGCAUGAGGAUGAGAUGCACUGUAGUACUUAAAGCAGCUGGAGGCUACCACAUACUGACUGUUACUUUUAAAAUUGCCCCCCCCUUUGUUCAUGGACUCAUUAUUCCAUUUCUGUUUAUCAAAUGUCUGUUAAAAUUCUUCAGUUUAUGUCUUAGUUGUUGAAAGUUUUUAUGUUAAUACAAAUAUUUACACAUGUUAAGAAACUUGC
Long non-coding RNA from Ictalurus punctatus (channel catfish), 621 nucleotides. NCBI's taxonomy places the organism in Eukaryota, Metazoa, Chordata, Actinopteri, Siluriformes, Ictaluridae. The record is from Ensembl.